Orbicella faveolata is the source of this 722-nucleotide long non-coding RNA. The record is from RefSeq and is a predicted model, not a curated record. NCBI's taxonomy places the organism in Eukaryota, Metazoa, Cnidaria, Anthozoa, Scleractinia, Merulinidae.
AACUGAAAACAUUUGAACUUGUUCUAUCUUCUAGGUUCUUUCUUGAAAAGGCAAUAGAGGCAUCUUCUUCAUUUGCAAAGGACAAAAGUGCAACACUUCUCAGAGAGGUGAAGGCUAAGAUUGCGGCUCAUACAGACUGUGGCUGUGCCCAGUUGAUUGACAAGGUUUUUCAGCUGCUGUACACUUCUGUUAUGGCUAGUGAACAAGCAAUGUCAGACCAAGAACAAUGUGACACAAAAACUCAGGAAAGAAAGCAACAAGAAAAUGAUGUUACUACAUUUGUAUCUAAUACAACAGAUUUUGAACAGAAGUGGUUUGGUGAUUUACUGUCCUACAUGGCUGGAAAUUAACACCAAAUUCCAUAAUGAAUGGUUAUUUAUCCAGUCUUAUUUAACUGGACUUGUCAAUAAACUCAGAGUUGAGAAUAAACAAUUUUUAAUAUUUAUUCAACAAUAAAGAUAUUCAAUAUUUUCAAUAAAAUGCAAUAUUUCUUCAGCUGUUGUUUUGAAGCCUGGCGUAUCAAAUUCCAGACUAAAAAAAUAUGUUAGUCUGGCCAGUUAUCAAUUCACUUACUUAUUUGUUAUGAUUAUUAUCACUCAAUUUCCUCCCCUAAUAAGGCAGUGAUAAGAACAUAAUUAGGCUAAAACCAGCUUUACCAUUUCAAAAUGGAAUGAGUCUUUGUGAGUCCAAAAACCAUGAACACUUUGAUUUGAUUCUGACAG